RNAcentral lists this ribosomal RNA (403 nucleotides) under uncultured bacterium. RNAcentral's name for it is "partial 16S ribosomal RNA". It matches the Rfam family "Bacterial small subunit ribosomal RNA", at positions 30 to 526 of the family's 1533-position model. The record is from RNAcentral.
AUUGAACGCUGGCGGCAGGCCUAACACAUGCAAGUCGAGCGAGCGGCGGACGGGUGAGUAAUGUAUGGGGACUGCCCGAUAGAGGGGGAUAACUACUGGAAACGGUGGCUAAUACCGCAUACUAUCGGAUAACCCAUAUGGGUUUAGCUAGUAGGUGGGGUAAAGGCUCACCUGGGCGACGAUCUCUAGCUGGUCUGAGAGGAUGAUCAGCCAAACUGGAACUUAGACACGGGCCAGACUCCUACGGAGGCAGCAGUGGGGAAUAUGGCGCAAGGGGCGCAAUCCUGAUGCAACCAGGCCGCGUGGAUGAAGAAGGCCUUAGGGUUUUAAAGUACUUUCAGCGGGGAGGCGGUACUCGCAGAAGAAGCACCGGCUAACUCCGUGCCAGCAGCCGCGGUAAUUC